UGAGAGGCAGUCAGAGCCCCACAGACCCAGCCUGUAGGAGGCAGACUGGACGUGUGCUGGAGGACGCACGGUUCUCCCUAAACUGUUUCCUGUGUUUCUAGUGCACUUCCCAGGCAUCAAGUUUACUGUCCACGCUCUAGGAAAUGAAUCUGACCAUACCCGCUUUCAAAACGUUCCCUGACCGGCAAUGGCAGACGAGAGACUGCUGGUGAGUCCCUGCCGUUCAGGAUGGACUGCAUCCUGGAUUAAUUCCUCACUUCUCACCACCGGGAGCUGCUAAACUUGUCGCUGCUGGUUUGCAAACAACACUGGUCUAAUUCAUUUACCGCAGCAGUAACACUUGGAGCUCUGAGACAGGUAAACCGACACAAGGUGGAGCUGCCUGAGCCCCCAUGGACCAUGCUUCGAAUGCAGCAGAAGGACAUUGGGCAAGAGAGUGCCUCAUCCUGGUGUUCCUUUGAGACCUUACCCCAGGGCUACUGGACUGUCCUAGCCACCAGAGAGUGGGUAAGCCAUCCUAACUUCUAGCCCUCACAGGAAAUGCCAACACUGCCAGAUUCAUCGCUGACAGAUCUGCUUAAACUUGCUGCUGAAGACUGACGGGGCUCAGGGCCAACAACAGCCCCCUUUAAGGUAUCCUUCUCAGAGUCCUAAGGCCCACUAGGAGUCUCAGUCCAACAUGUGGGCAUUCACCAGUGAUAAAGUUGUCCUGGUUAAAACACCUGGCACCAGCUUCUACAUGGGCAUCAACUAUCAUCCCAUCAACCCUCCUAAACCUCAGGACAGCACCCCCUUCCAGCAGGAAGCAGAAGAAAGAAAAACCCUGCCCUUUUUCCUAAUAAUCAAAAAAUGGGAAUGAAAGGAUUUUGCCGAAGGAGGCUGGGAGGCGGAACCAAGGGGCUCUAUCUUGAGGUCACCUUCCUUGCCCCUAGGCAAUUUACCUGUGGCACGAAAUGAAUACCAAUGGGCUACCUGUGCAUCACUAAUGCCCCUUAGGCACCACCCCAAACCUAAGCUACAUGUAUGCCCCACACCACAUGUCUGGUGGACAGAAUGCCAGACUCCGGAGGGUCAUGGAGUCUCUCUCCACAUUCUUAAAAUAAAGGCCAUUUUUAUUUCA
Cavia porcellus (domestic guinea pig) is the source of this 1120-nucleotide long non-coding RNA. RefSeq lists it as uncharacterized. The transcript is spliced from 4 exons. Lineage: Eukaryota; Metazoa; Chordata; Mammalia; Rodentia; Caviidae. The record is from RefSeq and is a predicted model, not a curated record.